AUUGAACGCUGGCGGCAUGCCUUACACAUGCAAGUCGAACGGCAGCACGGGUGCUUGCACCUGGUGGCGAGUGGCGAACGGGUGAGUAAUACAUCGGAACAUGUCCUGUAGUGGGGGAUAGCCCGGCGAAAGCCGGAUUAAUACCGCAUACGAUCUACGGAUGAAAGCGUGGGACCUUCGGGCCUCGCGCUAUAGGGUUGGCCGAUGGCUGAUUAGCUAGUUGGUGGGGUAAAGGCCUACCAAGGCGACGAUCAGUAGCUGGUCUGAGAGGACGACCAGCCACACUGGGACUGAGACACGGCCCAGACUCCGACGGGAGGCAGAAGUGGGGAAGGUUGGACAAUGGGCGAAAGACUGAUCCAGCAAUGCCGCGUGUGUGAAGAAGGCCUGCGGGUUGUAAAGCACUUUUGUCCGGAAAGAAAGCCUUGGCCCUAAUACGGUCGGGGGAUGACGGUACCGGAAGAAGAAGCACCGGCUAACUACGUG
Molecule: ribosomal RNA, 486 nt
Filed under: uncultured bacterium
Lineage: Bacteria
Description: partial 16S ribosomal RNA
Rfam family: Bacterial small subunit ribosomal RNA
Source: RNAcentral